AAAAAGGCAAACCCUAGGUUUCUAUGUCCAACUUUAACUGUCUAUUUUAUAUGAAAUUUUUUUAUAAUUCGUAUUUUCAUUGUUGUUAGAUGAUAAAAUAUGAUUAAUAUUUUAUGCGUGACUUGUCUUUUUAAUUUUUUUCAUAAUUUUUUCAAAUAAAACGGAUGGUCAAACGUUAAACACAGAAACCAGGGUUUGUCUUUUU
MicroRNA precursor from Oryza sativa Japonica Group (Japanese rice), 205 nucleotides. It matches the Rfam family "MIR812 microRNA precursor family". The record is from Rfam. Lineage: Eukaryota; Viridiplantae; Streptophyta; Magnoliopsida; Poales; Poaceae.